Podarcis lilfordi (Lilford's wall lizard) is the source of this 70-nucleotide non-coding RNA. The record is from the annotation of a GenBank genome assembly. Lineage: Eukaryota; Metazoa; Chordata; Lepidosauria; Squamata; Lacertidae.
GGCUGUAGCCCAGUGGCAGAGCAUCCGCUUUAUAUGUGGAAGGUCCCAGGUUCAAUCCCCAGCAAGGUCU